GUUAUUUUGGAAGCACAUAUACUAAAAUUGUAAUGAUAUAAAGAAGAAGAGCACAGCCCCUGUGCAAGGGUGAUGCACAUGUUUGGUUUUUUUAAAGCAUCUUG
Jaculus jaculus (lesser Egyptian jerboa) is the source of this 104-nucleotide small nuclear RNA. The record is from RefSeq and is a predicted model, not a curated record. Lineage: Eukaryota; Metazoa; Chordata; Mammalia; Rodentia; Dipodidae.